GGUUUAAUUGUGAUUCGUU
Molecule: small RNA, 19 nt
Filed under: Arabidopsis thaliana (thale cress)
Lineage: Eukaryota; Viridiplantae; Streptophyta; Magnoliopsida; Brassicales; Brassicaceae
Description: ATSL104540
Source: RNAcentral